GCGACUGUAGUUUAGUUGGUAAAACGCUUAAUUUAUUAAAACAUAUCUGUUUGAAUAAUCCAAAUUACUAAGUAUCGUGGGUUCAACUCCCAUCAGUCGCG
RNAcentral lists this transfer RNA (101 nucleotides) under Entamoeba invadens. Its description in RNAcentral is "tRNA-Ile". It matches the Rfam family "tRNA". Rfam says of the family: Transfer RNA (tRNA) molecules are approximately 80 nucleotides in length. Their secondary structure includes four short double-helical elements and three loops (D, anti-codon, and T loops). RNAcentral also lists the same sequence under 1 other name. The record is from RNAcentral. Lineage: Eukaryota; Evosea; Mastigamoebida; Endamoebidae.